UGCAGCUGCACCACCUGCGGC
RNAcentral lists this unclassified non-coding RNA (21 nucleotides) under Chlamydomonas reinhardtii. RNAcentral describes it as "small RNA Cre_3021". The record is from RNAcentral. Lineage: Eukaryota; Viridiplantae; Chlorophyta; Chlorophyceae; Chlamydomonadales; Chlamydomonadaceae.